Molecule: ribosomal RNA, 465 nt
Filed under: uncultured Streptococcus sp.
Lineage: Bacteria; Bacillati; Bacillota; Bacilli; Lactobacillales; Streptococcaceae
Description: bacterial SSU rRNA
Rfam family: Bacterial small subunit ribosomal RNA
Source: RNAcentral
CCUACGGGUGGCAGCAGUAGGGAAUCUUCGGCAAUGGGGGCAACCCUGACCGAGCAACGCCGCGUGAGUGAAGAAGGUUUUCGGAUCGUAAAGCUCUGUUGUAAGAGAAGAACGAGUGGGAGAGUGGAAAAUUCACACUGUGACGGUAACUUACCAGAAAGGGACGGCUAACUACGUGCCAGCAGCCGCGGUCAUACGUAGGUCCCGAGCGUUAUCCGGAUUUAUUGGGCGUAAAGCGAGCGCAGGCGGUUAGAUAAGUCUGAAGUUAAAGGCUGUGGCUUAACCAUAGUACGCUUUGGAAACUGUUUAACUUGAGUGCAGAAGGGGAGAGUGGAAUUCCAUGUGUAGCGGUGAAAUGCGUAGAUAUAUGGAGGAACACCGGUGGCGAAAGCGGCUCUCUGGUCUGUAACUGACGCUGAGGCUCGAAAGCGUGGGGAGCAAACAGGAUUAGAUACCCCAGUAGUC